Molecule: transfer RNA, 76 nt
Filed under: Candidatus Berkelbacteria bacterium CG08_land_8_20_14_0_20_39_8
Lineage: Bacteria; Candidatus Berkelbacteria
Description: tRNA-Lys
Rfam family: tRNA
About the family: Transfer RNA (tRNA) molecules are approximately 80 nucleotides in length. Their secondary structure includes four short double-helical elements and three loops (D, anti-codon, and T loops). Further hydrogen bonds mediate the characteristic L-shaped molecular structure. tRNAs have two regions of fundamental functional importance: the anti-codon, which is responsible for specific mRNA codon recognition, and the 3' end, to which the tRNAs corresponding amino acid is attached (by aminoacyl-tRNA synthetases). tRNAs cope with the degeneracy of the genetic code in two manners: having more than one tRNA (with a specific anti-codon) for a particular amino acid; and 'wobble' base-pairing, i.e. permitting non-standard base-pairing at the 3rd anti-codon position.
Source: RNAcentral
GUGCGUGUAGCUCAGUUGGCAGAGCAGCGGACUUUUAAUCCGCAGGGCGCCGGUUCGAAUCCGGCCACGCACACCA